Long non-coding RNA from Sander lucioperca (pikeperch), 205 nucleotides. RefSeq lists it as uncharacterized. The record is from RefSeq and is a predicted model, not a curated record. The transcript has 3 exons. NCBI's taxonomy places the organism in Eukaryota, Metazoa, Chordata, Actinopteri, Perciformes, Percidae.
AAAAGUGCUUUAGUGUUGCUUUAACCAUAGUCCUCAUAAAUCCACCGGAGUUUAAAAUGAAAACACAAAGAAAGCGGCAGGUAACGGACUUCCGGGCGAAAAGAGUGACAUCCGGCGGAAUUUGCGGCGGCACCGGAGCAAUCCCGGAGGUGGAACGUCGUGGUUAUAGACUGAGGUGGGUGCGACUGUUUGUUAAAAAAAAAAA